AACGAACGCUGGCGGCGCGCCUAAUACAUGCAAGUCGAGCGAGAAGACGUAGCAAUACGUUUGUAAAGCGGCGAACGGGUGAGGAAUACAUGGGUAACCUACCCUCGAGUGGGGAAUAACUAGCCGAAAGGUUAGCUAAUACCGCGUACGCUCCUUGGACUUCGGUUCAGGGAGGAAAGCGAUACCGUGGGUAUCGCGCUCUUGGAUGGGCUCAUGUCCUAUCAGCUUGUUGGGAGGUAACGGCUCACCAAGGCUUCGACGGGUAGCUGGUCUGAGAGGACAAUCAGCCACACUGGCACUGCGACACGGGCCAGACUCCUACGGGAGGCAGCAGUAAGGAAUAUUGCGCAAUGGGCGAAAGCCUGACGCAGCGACGCCGCGUGGGGGAGUGAAGGGUC
This 398-nucleotide ribosomal RNA is filed under the name uncultured bacterium. RNAcentral's name for it is "bacterial SSU rRNA". It matches the Rfam family "Bacterial small subunit ribosomal RNA", at positions 29 to 417 of the family's 1533-position model. The record is from RNAcentral.